GUUAAAAGCUCGUAGUUGGAUUUCUGUUGAGGAUGACCGGUCCGCUCUUUGAGCGCGUAUCUGGUUCAGCCUUGGCAUCCUCUUGGGGAACGCUACUGUGCUUGAUUGCAUGGGGCGGUAUUCAAGACUUUUACUUUGAGGAAAUUAGAGUGUUCACUGCAAGCGUUAGCAAUAGAAUACAUUAGCAUGGAAUAAUAAUAUAGGACCUUGGUACUAUUUUGUUGGUUUCUAGAACUAAGGUAAUGAUUAAUAGGGACAAUUGGGGGCAUUCGUAUUAACGCGUCAGAGGUGGUAUUCUUAGAUUGCGUUACGACGAACUACUGCGAAAGCAUUUGCCAAGGAUGUUUUCAUUGAUCAAGAACGAAAGUAUGGGGAUCGAAGACGCUUAGAUACCGUCGUAGUCUAUACCAUAAACUAUGCCAACUAGAGAUUGGAGGUCGUUCUCUUUAUGACUCCUUCAGCACCUUAUGAGAAAUCAAAGUCUUUGGGUUCCGGGGGGAGUAUGGUCGCAAGGCUGAAACUUAAAGGAAUUGACGGAAGGGCACCACCAGGAGUGGAGCCUGCGGCUUAAUUUGACCCAACACGGGAAAACUUACCAGGUCCAGACAUAGUAAGGAUUGACAGAUUGAUAGCUC
This 635-nucleotide ribosomal RNA is filed under the name uncultured marine eukaryote. Its description in RNAcentral is "SSU rRNA". It matches the Rfam family "Eukaryotic small subunit ribosomal RNA", at positions 618 to 1257 of the family's 1831-position model. The record is from RNAcentral.